This 988-nucleotide ribosomal RNA is filed under the name Bacillus sp. DBT15. RNAcentral's name for it is "bacterial SSU rRNA". It matches the Rfam family "Bacterial small subunit ribosomal RNA", at positions 44 to 1019 of the family's 1533-position model. The record is from RNAcentral. Lineage: Bacteria; Bacillati; Bacillota; Bacilli; Caryophanales; Bacillaceae.
GUGCUAUAAUGCAAGUCGAGCGGACCGACGGGAGCUUGCUCCCUUAGGUCAGCGGCGGACGGGUGAGUAACACGUGGGUAACCUGCCUGUAAGACUGGGAUAACUCCGGGAAACCGGGGCUAAUACCGGAUGCUUGAUUGAACCGCAUGGUUCCAUCCUUAAAGGGGGCUUUUAACUACCCCUUUCCGAUGGACCCGCGGCGCAUUAACUAAUUGGGGAGGUAACGGCUCCCCCAGGGGACCAAGCCUAACCCAACUGAAAGGGUGAUCGGCCCCCCUGGGACUGAAACCCGGCCCAAACUCCUACGGGAGGCAGCAGUAAGGAAUCUUCCGCAAUGGACGAAAGUCUGACGGAACAACCCCCCGUGAGUGAUGAAGGUUUUCCGAACCUAAAACUCUGGUGGUAGGGAGACAGUACCGUUCGAAUAGGGCGGUACCUUGACGGUACCUAACCAGAAAGCACGGCUAACUACGUGCCAGCAGCCGCGGUAAUACGUAGGUGGCAAGCGUUGUCCGGAAUUAUUGGGCGUAAAGCGCGCGCAGGCGGUUUCUUAAGUCUGAUGUGAAAGCCCCCGGCUCAACCGGGGAGGGUCAUUGGAAACUGGGGAACUUGAGUGCAGAAGAGGAGAGUGGAAUUCCACGUGUAGCGGUGAAAUGCGUAGAGAUGUGGAGGAACACCAGUGGCGAAGGCGACUCUCUGGUCUGUAACUGACGCUGAGGCGCGAAAGCGUGGGGAGCGAACAGGAUUAGAUACCCUGGUAGUCCACGCCGUAAACGAUGAGUGCUAAGUGUUAGAGGGUUUCCGCCCUUUAGUGCUGCAGCAAACGCAUUAAGCACUCCGCCUGGGGAGUACGGUCGCAAGACUGAAACUCAAAGGAAUUGACGGGGGCCCGCACAAGCGGUGGAGCAUGUGGUUUAAUUCGAAGCAACGCGAAGAACCUUACCAGGUCUUGACAUCCUCUGACAACCCUAGAGAUAGGGCUUCCCCU